This 69-nucleotide non-coding RNA is filed under the name Picochlorum sp. RCC944. Lineage: Eukaryota; Viridiplantae; Chlorophyta; Trebouxiophyceae. The record is from RNAcentral.
GCCUGGCCUGAUCUCCCUGGAGCUGGCUUUGCUUACCGUCUUCUCGGGCGUCUACGAGUUGGUGGACUU